CCGCGUGAGGAAGAAGUAUUUCGGUAUGUAAAGCUCUAUCAGCAGGAAAGAAAAUGACGGUACCUGACUAAGAAGCCCCGGCUAACUACGUGCCAGCAGCCGCGGUAAUACGUAGGGGGCAAGCGUUAUCCGGAUUUACUGGGUGUAAAGGGAGCGUAGACGGUUUUGCAAGUCUGAAGUGAAAGCCCGGGGCUUAACCCGGGACUGCUUUGGAAACUGUAGAACUAGAGUGCAGGAGAGGUAAGUGGAAUUCCUAGUGUAGCGGUGAAAUGCGUAGAUAUUAGGAGGAACACCAGUGGCGAAGGCGGCUUACUGGACUGUAACUGA
RNAcentral lists this ribosomal RNA (327 nucleotides) under uncultured bacterium. RNAcentral's name for it is "bacterial SSU rRNA". It matches the Rfam family "Bacterial small subunit ribosomal RNA", at positions 397 to 743 of the family's 1533-position model. The record is from RNAcentral.